Molecule: ribosomal RNA, 463 nt
Filed under: uncultured Bacillota bacterium
Lineage: Bacteria; Bacillati; Bacillota
Description: bacterial SSU rRNA
Rfam family: Bacterial small subunit ribosomal RNA
Source: RNAcentral
CGGGGUUGUAAAGCUCUGUCUUUUGGGACGAUAAUGACGGUACCAAAGGAGGAAGCCACGGCUAACUACGUGCCAGCAGCCGCGGUAAUACGUAGGUGGCGAGCGUUGUCCGGAUUUACUGGGCGUAAAGGAUGCGUAGGCGGAUAUUUAAGUGAGAUGUGAAAAUACCCGGGCUUAACUUGGGUGCUGCAUUUACAAACUGGAUAUCUAGAGUGCGGGAGAGGAGAAUGGAAUUCCUAGUGUAGCGGUGAAAUGCGUAGAGAUUAGGAAGAACACCAGUGGCGAAGGCGAUUCUCUGGACCGUAACUGACGCUGAGGCAUGAAAGCGUGGGUAGCAAACAGGAUUAGAUACCCUGGUAGUCCACGCCGUAAACGAUGAGUACUAGGUGUAGGAGGGUCCAACCUUCUGUGCCGCAGUUAACACAAUAAGUACUCCGCCUGGGAAGUACGAUCGCAAGAAUUA